GAUGAACGCUGGCGGCGUGCCUAAUACAUGCAAGUCGAGCGAACGGACGAGAAGCUUGCUUUUCUGAUGUUAGCGGCGGACGGGUGAGUAACACGUGGAUAACCUACCUAUAAGACUGGGAUAACUUCGGGAAACCGGAGCUAAUACCGGAUAAUAUUUUGAACCGCAUGGUUCAAAAGUGAAAGACGGUCUUGCUGUCACUUAUAGAUGGAUCCGCGCUGCAUUAGCUAGUUGGUAAGGUAACGGCUUACCAAGGCAACGAUGCAGAGCCGACCUGAGAGGGUGAGGGGCGACAGUGGAAUUGAGACAGGGAUCAGACCCCUACGGGAGGCAGCGGUAGGGGAUGGGAAGAAAGGGGAGAAAGCCUGACGGAGCAACGCCGAGGGAGUGAUGAAGGUCUUCGGAUCGGAAAACUAUGUUAUUAGGGAAGAAGAGAUGGGUAAGUAACUGUGCACGUCGUGACGGUACCUAAAGAGAAAGCCACGGCUAACUACGUG
RNAcentral lists this ribosomal RNA (497 nucleotides) under uncultured bacterium. RNAcentral describes it as "partial 16S ribosomal RNA". It matches the Rfam family "Bacterial small subunit ribosomal RNA", at positions 28 to 507 of the family's 1533-position model. The record is from RNAcentral.